Molecule: ribosomal RNA, 237 nt
Filed under: Rhizophagus intraradices
Lineage: Eukaryota; Fungi; Glomeromycota; Glomeromycetes; Glomerales; Glomeraceae
Source: RNAcentral
CAGUCUUACCUGCGGACAAUCAGCUUUUUGAGUGUGAUUAUGUGGAUUGUGAGGAGUUUAAUCACCCUCAUGGUUUGCAUAUUUGUGCUCUUGGGUGUACUUGUCUGUGUGGUAGGUUAACAUCAAUUUCGGUCGGCAUAAAAUGAUUAGAGGAAUGUAGCUUUGAUCUCGUAUCGAAGUGUUAUAGCCCUCUGGGUAGAUGGUGACGAUUGGGGAUUAGGAGUUAGUCGAACGAAC